Molecule: ribosomal RNA, 353 nt
Filed under: uncultured bacterium
Lineage: Bacteria
Description: partial 16S ribosomal RNA
Rfam family: Bacterial small subunit ribosomal RNA
Source: RNAcentral
CCUACGGGUGGCAGCAGUGAGGAAUAUUGGUCAAUGGGCGGAAGCCUGAACCAGCCAAGUAGCGUGCAGGAUGACGGCCCUACGGGUUGUAAACUGCUUUUAUACGGGAAUAACGCGCCUUACGUGUAGGGCUUUGCAUGUACCGUAUGAAUAAGGACCGGCUAAUUCCGUGCCAGCAGCCGCGGUAAUACGGAAGGUCCGGGCGUUAUCCGGAUUUAUUGGGGUUAAAGGGAGCGUAGGCCGCAUGUCAGGCGUGCUGUGAAAUGUCCGGGCGCAACCCGGGCCUUGCAGGGCGAACUGGCGUGCUGGAGUGGGCGGAGGGCAGGGGGAAGUGGGGGUGGAGGGGGGAAAGG